UAAUCAUUUGUCUAUUAAUUGUAGACCAGUAUGAAAGGCUACAUGAGAGUCAAACUGUCUCUUGUAAUGAAUCUAUUAAACUGAUCUCCUAGUUCAAAAGCUAGAAUACCUAUAUAAGACCAGAAGACCCUGUGAAGCUUAAACUAACCUUCUAAAACAACUAGAAGCUACUUUCAGUUGGGGCGACUAUGGAACAAAACAAAACUUCCAACAUAUAAAUACUUAAAGGCAUACAAGCCUAUAUACGACCCAGUCUUACUGACUAACGAAACAAGUUACUCCAGGGAUAACAGCGCUAUCUUCUUCAAGAGCCCAUAUCAAAAAGAAGGUUUACGACCUCGAUGUUGGAUCAGGACACCCAAAUGGUGCAGAAGCUAUUAAAGGUU
Molecule: ribosomal RNA, 386 nt
Filed under: Tropidophis melanurus
Lineage: Eukaryota; Metazoa; Chordata; Lepidosauria; Squamata; Tropidophiidae
Description: partial 16S ribosomal RNA
Rfam family: Bacterial large subunit ribosomal RNA
Source: RNAcentral